RNAcentral lists this ribosomal RNA (422 nucleotides) under uncultured bacterium. RNAcentral describes it as "partial 16S ribosomal RNA". It matches the Rfam family "Bacterial small subunit ribosomal RNA", at positions 362 to 776 of the family's 1533-position model. The record is from RNAcentral.
UUUUGGACAAUGGGGGAAACCCUGAUCCAGCCAUCCCGCGUGUAUGAUGAAGGCCUUCNGGUUGUNANGUACUUUUGGCAGAGAANCAAAGGUAUCUCCUAAUACGAGAUACUGCUGACGGUAUCUGCAGAAUAAGCACCGGCUAACGACGUUCCAGCAGCCGCGGUAAUACGUAGGGUGCAAGCGUUAAUCGGCAUUACUGGGCGUAAAGUGUGUGUAGGCGGUUCGGAAAGAAAGAUGUUAAAACCCAGGGCUCAACCUUGGAACUGCAUUUUUAACUGCCGAGCUAGAGUAUGUCAGAGGGGGGUAGAAUUCCACGUGUAGCAGUGAAAUGCGUAGAUAUGUGGAGGAAUACCGAUGGCGAAGGCAGCCCCCUGGGAUAAUACUGACGCUCAGACACGAAAGCGUGGGGAGCAAACAGG